CUGACCAAGAGGGUGAAUAGUCUUGUGAGUGGCAGCCAGAUAUAGACGCACAAUAUGCCCGUGGCUUCGGCUGAGUCUUGUGAGUGAGCCACAUGUAGGUGCACAAUAUGCAAGCGGCUACGACUGCUUACCUCUGCCCUCGCCGCCGUCCUUGUGUCAUGCUGCUCGGUCGUGGAGGAACAUGACUGCUCGUGUGAUGGCAGCGAUUUCACUGUGCCACAACCACGAGGGUGGUGAUGUCUCGUCCUUGGCUACAAUUGCCCUCUGGGACUGAAUAUGUUUUGAGGGAAGAAAUUCAGGGGACAAUGUAAUUUGAUGUGGUCAUCAAUAGUCAUUACCAACUCUCCAUCAACAGAAUGUGUUACACGUGGCAUGGCUUGCCUCUAGCAGUCUAGCUCCUUCGGUCUGGUGUGACCAACCCAUUCCUGCUCUGGCGGUCCUGCUGCAGAGGCCGUUCUGCACGAGGUCAAGCUGCUUGGCCCAAAGCCCAACAAUGGCUAUCUCGCCCAUUCAGAACACGUUGGCAUUGGCACCAGAAGGUCAAUUUUUUAAUUUGCUUGAACUCGGAUCGUUGGCUUCCACGUUAUUCAAUUUCCUCCUAUUUUUGUACUUGCUGAAAUGGGCACAGGGCAACUGGUAUUUGUGUCUGUUGAGUCAGAAAAAUGAUCGAUGGCUUGUGUUGCAAAAUGUUGGUGGCAAAAUAGAGCCAGAAACACAUUUGUGUAUUUCAAAAACUGCAAAAUUGUUCAUAUCAGUUCUGUAACAUUAGUUUUUUUCCCUUACCCAUAUUGUUAGAAGAUAAAAACUACCACAUUUACUUGUCGCUCAAUUGCCAUGUUUAGCACCAGGCAUUCAAAUGCCAAGUCCUCGAUUUUAGGAAAAAAAAUAAGUCCGAGCCCACUUUAUAUUCAAAUGAAGCCACUAAUAUCAUCCAUUGGGGUUCAACUUAAAACAUACGACCGAGCCAGCAUGAAGCGCCUAUGUUGUUAUGAGUCACUUUCUUCUGUCUCACUAGAUGCACUGUUAUGUUGCAUUGGCAUCUUACAUCACUAGAUGCACUUGCCAUCAAGCGUUGUCAUUUCUGUGGGAGUUUAAUGAGAGCUACAAGUGGAACUUUCUUGUAUUAGGUUCCAGUUUUGGAAAUCAUAUUGGUCAAGUAGCUAGAUUACUUGCAUUCUUCCAAGCAUGAACUUUUUGAAUUUGAUUACUGUGUUCACAUUUCUUUUUUGCGUGUUGAUAUCUGACACCAAGAGGGUGAAAAGUCUUGUGAGUGACAGCCAGAUAUAGAUGUACACUAUGACCUCGGCCUGAACUGCUUACCUCCGCCCUUGCUGCUGUACUCCCAUCCCGCUGCUCGGCAGUGGACGGACAUGACUACUGGUGUGAUGGUGGUGGUUCACCGUGCCCCAACCAGGGGGUGGUGAUGUCUCGACCUUGGAUCCAAUUGCCCUUUGAUAUCUGUCAGCAAGAGGGUGAAUAGUCUUGUGAGUGACAGCCAGAUAUAUAUGCACAAUAUACCCGCGGCUUUGACUCCUUACCUCCGGCCUUGCUGCCAUGCUCUGUCAUGCUGCUCAGUCCUGGACGGACAUGACUUCUGGUGUGAUGGCGACGAGUUCACCGUGUCACAACCACUGGGGCGGUGAAGUCUUGGCCUUGUAUACAAUUGCCCUCUGCUUCAACUUGGAAAACGUGUUGACCGACCUAUGUGGCAUGGACGGUCGAUAAGGCUAGGGUCGUUGCCAUCGUCAAGGACCUGCUUACUAAGACAGAAUGACCCAAGGAUCCAUCUCAGCAUUGAUCGCUAAGCAGAGGAAGAAUUGGAGCAACGUGAAGCAAAAGGAGAAGGUGAACAACACCACGACAAGCUCAUUGCCGAGUUUCCCAAGCGCUUCUGGGUUCAAAGCAAUAUCGGUGUGCAGGCUACAGAUUCCAGUGGGGUGGAUGCUAUGCUCGGCUUUCCAACCGGCUUCCACUACCUCCUUUCCUCUUGCCGCCGUGCGGCCGCGGUGGUGGUGAUGACAUUCAGCCUCGGCGACACCCCACUCCGGUCAAUGAUGAGCUUACCACUGGUGGCGGUUGUCUCGGACAGAGCCUCUCCGCGCAACCCGGAGUUGUUGCUGAUGGUGAAGGCUCUUGGCGGUGGUGGUGCUGCUUCUGAUGGGCACACCUGAUCCUCCCACGCUUGGCUUGCCCCCAUCAACACGUCACCACCACCCCCUUGACUCCGGUUCUUCUCCACCGAGAGAAAGACCGCCAUAGUACCAGAAGGCUUCCACUAGUUUCACUACUUCCGCUCUCCCUACCGUGCGAAGGAGGCAAGUUUACCGCUACGCAACCGUGGCAAUGGUGGCCUCAUCUUUGACUGCGUGGUUUUGGUGAGUCUCUGGUUCUUCCAUUCUGUCAUGUGCUAUGCACGUCUGCCAUCCGAGGGUUGUCAACUGUCGCGAGAAGAAGUGUGGCCACAAUAAUUAGGUGAGCAGUCUGGUACUUCUACAUGGACUACUUGCAACGGCCAGCGUCAGGUGCAAAGUUGAUGUUUAUAUGCCCGGUCCUUGGGUAUAUCAAGAAGUGGAUUCCGGUCCUUGGUGUGUCGAGAAUUCCUGCGGCAGCGGCAAUGGCAAUGGUGUCCACCCCUCUGAUGUUGUCCUUCUCGAAGGGUUGGUCUAGUGCUUGGGAGGUUGACGUGUUGAGGAUGACGGGGCACGGCUCUGGUCCACCGCCACAUGGUCUUUCUCUGCAAAGAAAAGGAUUCUGUGCGUGCAGAUUGUGUUGUACAGGGAAAUCACCACAAGAUGGUUUAAAACAGCCAUCCAGGCAUUACCUUCUGAAUUAGGAUUCCUUUUUCUUAUGUAUUCCUUGUGCAUUCAUUCCUUUGACGUUUGCAUGUAGCUGCUGUGGCUGAUAGAGAACGGAUGCCAAGCGGCUCGGCAUAUGGUAUUUGGUCAGUGGCACCACUCUAAUCCAGGAACCUGCCAGCAGACGGCAUUUGGGUAGUAGGAGGAUCAGGCGGUGGCGCAUGAGCAAGGACGAGCCUGGAGAUGAGCUGGCCAGUCUGCAACUUAUAGAGAGUUGGCUGGUCUAUAACUUAUCGAGAACUUGCUUGUGUUGUUGUGAGAGAGGAACUUGGUGCGGACAUGCAAGCUGCAUGGUAGUCAAGUAGAAAACCUGAGCAUGGACAUGCAUACAUAGGGCUGUAUUGUCUAGGUGAUUUAUUCAUUCAUUUUUUUUUUGAAAACAUGAAAGUAGCAAAUGAAAACAACACCAGGUUACAUGAA
Molecule: non-coding RNA, 3275 nt
Organism: Lolium perenne
Lineage: Eukaryota; Viridiplantae; Streptophyta; Magnoliopsida; Poales; Poaceae
Source: RefSeq, a predicted model, not a curated record